RNAcentral lists this ribosomal RNA (253 nucleotides) under uncultured bacterium. RNAcentral describes it as "partial 16S ribosomal RNA". It matches the Rfam family "Bacterial small subunit ribosomal RNA", at positions 524 to 776 of the family's 1533-position model. The record is from RNAcentral.
UACGAAGGGGGCUAGCGUUGUUCGGAAUCACUGGGCGUAAAGGGCGCGUAGGCGGCUUUAUAAGUCGGGGGUGAAAGCCUGUGGCUCAACCACAGAAUUGCCUUCGAUACUGUAGAGCUUGAGACCGGAAGAGGUAAGUGGAACUGCGAGUGUAGAGGUGAAAUUCGUAGAUAUUCGCAAGAACACCAGUGGCGAAGGCGGCAUUCUGGACCGAUAUUGACGCUGAGGAGCGAAAGCCAGGGGAGCAAACGGG